UAUACAACUAAAUUCAAUCAAAUGGACCAAUAGUUGUAAUAGGACCAAAAUUGUUUUAAUAAGAUUAAAAUGUAUGUUUAUAUAUGAUGAGACCUAAAACCCUCAACCAAACCAUUAUUAAGUUGAUAAGCGAGAGAUGCUUUGAACAUCUCUUCGUAGGCCUUCCACCAUGGUGGGCUUCAAUCGUUUGUGACUCAUACACCGUAUUCGUCCAGUUCUGGGGUAUGUAAAGUAUGUGCUUACAUUCAGGAGAAGCCUAUAAACAUAUGAUGAAGU
Molecule: long non-coding RNA, 276 nt
Filed under: Malus domestica (apple)
Lineage: Eukaryota; Viridiplantae; Streptophyta; Magnoliopsida; Rosales; Rosaceae
Description: long non-coding RNA (MDOM_LNC019666)
Source: RNAcentral